UUGAACGCUGGCGGAAUGCUUUACACAUGCAAGUCGAACGGCAGCACGGGGGCAACCCUGGUGGCGAGUGGCGAACGGGUGAGUAAUGUAUCGGAACGUACCCAGUCGUGGGGGAUAACUAUCCGAAAGGAUAGCUAAUACCGCAUACGUCCUGAGGGAGAAAGCGGGGGAUCGCAAGACCUCGCGCGAUUGGAGCGGCCGAUAUCGGAUUAGCUAGUUGGUGAGGUAAAGGCUCACCAAGGCGACGAUCCGUAGCGGGUCUGAGAGGACGACCCGCCACACUGGAACUGAGACACGGUCCAGACUCCUACGGGAGGCAGCAGUGGGGAAUUUUGGACAAUGGGGGAAACCCUGAUCCAGCCAUUCCGCGUGAGUGAAGAAGGCCUUCGGGUUGUAAAGCUCUUUCAGCAGGAACGAAACGGUCGGCUUUAAUAAAGUCGGCUAAUGACGGUACCUGCAGAAGAAGCACCGGCUAACUACGU
This 482-nucleotide ribosomal RNA is filed under the name uncultured bacterium. Its description in RNAcentral is "bacterial SSU rRNA". It matches the Rfam family "Bacterial small subunit ribosomal RNA", at positions 30 to 506 of the family's 1533-position model. The record is from RNAcentral.